CCUACGGGUGGCAGCAGUGAGGAAUAUUGGUCAAUGGACGGGAGCCUGAACCAGCCAAGCCGCGUGAAGGAAGAAGGCGCCAGGCGUCGUAAACUUCUUUUGUCGGGGAACAAAGCGCGCCACGUGUGCCGUUGUGCGUGUACCCUAAGAACAAGCAUCGGCUAACUCCGUGCCAGCAGCCGCGGUAAUACGGAGGAUGCGAGCGUUAUCCGGAUUUAUUGGGUUUAAAGGGUGCGUAGGCGGCCUUUUAAGUCAGCGGUGAAAGUCUGUGGCUCAACCAUAGAAUUGCCGUUGAAACUGGGGGGCUUGAGUAUGUUUGAGGCAGGCGGAAGGCGUGGUGUAGCGGGGAAAUGCUUAGAUAUCACGCAGAACCCCGAUUGCGAAGGCAGCCUGCCAAGCCAUGACUGACGCUGAUGCACGAAAGCGUGGGGAUCAAACAGGAUUAGAUACCCGUGUAGUC
RNAcentral lists this ribosomal RNA (460 nucleotides) under uncultured bacterium. Its description in RNAcentral is "partial 16S ribosomal RNA". It matches the Rfam family "Bacterial small subunit ribosomal RNA", at positions 338 to 795 of the family's 1533-position model. The record is from RNAcentral.